UUAUAACUGUAAUUUUGGCCCUAUCCCCGCCACGCAGGUGCCACAUCAACGCCACGCAAGCUGGCUGUAGAGGGGCGUUAAGUUAAAUACGGUGAAUCAUCCGCCGUAUUCUAUACUUAUAUUCCACGGUAAAUUCGUCUUUAGACACAGUGAAUGAAUUAUCGUAUUCAAUUUAUUCCAGCAUCUCUACUCUUACUAGCGUGUGCGCUUAUAUGGCACCUGCAUCAGUAUGGCGGGGAUAGGAUCAAAAUUGUAAUUAUAAAUUUAGUAGAAUUAAUUGUGAAAAUAAUACAAAAAAAAGCCCUUAAAUAUAUA
This 315-nucleotide long non-coding RNA is filed under the name Ananas comosus (pineapple). Its description in RNAcentral is "long non-coding RNA (ACOM_LNC027610)". The record is from RNAcentral. Lineage: Eukaryota; Viridiplantae; Streptophyta; Magnoliopsida; Poales; Bromeliaceae.